Molecule: ribosomal RNA, 435 nt
Filed under: uncultured bacterium
Lineage: Bacteria
Description: partial 16S ribosomal RNA
Rfam family: Bacterial small subunit ribosomal RNA
Source: RNAcentral
GAUGAACGCUGGCGGUAUGCUUAACACAUGCAAGUCGAACGGACUCUUCGGAGUUAGUGGCGGACGGGUGAGUAACGCGUGAGAAUCUGGCUUUGGGUUCGGGACAAUCACUGGAAACGGUGGCUAAUACCGGAUGUGCCGAGAGGUAAAAGAGAAAUUGCCUGAAGAUGAGCUCGCGUCUGAUUAGCUAGUUGGUGAGGUAAAGGCUCACCAAGGCAGCGAUCAGUAGCUGGUCUGAGAGGAUGACCAGCCACACUGGGACUGAGACACGGCCCAGACUCCUACGGGAGGCAGCAGUGGGGAAUUUUCCGCAAUGGGCGAACGCCUGACGGAGCAAUACCGCGUGAGGGAAGAAGGCUCUUGGGUUGUAAACCUCUUUUCUUAGGGAAGAACAAAAUGACGGUACCUAAGGAAUCAGCAUCGGCUAACUCCGUG